GGUUAAGCGACUAAGCGUACACGGUGGAUGCCCUGGCAGUCAGAGGCGAUGAAGGGCGUGCUAAUCUGCGAUAAGCGCCGGUAAGGUGAUAUGAACCGUUAUAACCGGCGAUACCCGAAUGGGGAAACCCAGUGUGACUCGUCACACUAUCAUUAACUGAAUCCAUAGGUUAAUGAGGCGAACCGGGGGAACUGAAACAUCUAAGUACCCCGAGGAAAAGAAAUCAACCGAGAUUCCCCCAGUAGCGGCGAGCGAACGGGGAGGAGCCCAGAGCCUGAAUCAGCAUGUGUGUUAGUGGAAGCGUCUGGAAAGGCGCGCGAUACAGGGUGACAGCCCCGUACACAAAAGCGCAUGUGCUGUGAGCUCGAUGAGUAGGGCGGGACACGUGGUAUCCUGUCUGAAUAUGGGGGGACCAUCCUCCAAGGCUAAAUACUCCUGACUGACCGAUAGUGAACCAGUACCGUGAGGGAAAGGCGAAAAGAACCCCGGCGAGGGGAGUGAAAAAGAACCUGAAACCGUGUACGUACAAGCAGUGGGAGCACCCUUUGGGUGUGACUGCGUACCUUUUGUAUAAUGGGUCAGCGACUUAUAUUCUGUAGCAAGGUUAACCGAAUAGGGGAGCCGGAGGGAAACCGAGUCUUAACCGGGCGUUAAGUUGCAGGGUAUAGACCCGAAACCCGGUGAUCUAGCCAUGGGCAGGUUGAAGGUUGGGUAACACUAACUGGAGGACCGAACCGACUAAUGUUGAAAAAUUAGCGGAUGACCUGUGGCUGGGGGUGAAAGGCCAAUCAAACCGGGAGAUAGCUGGUUCUCCCCGAAAGCUAUUUAGGUAGCGCCUCGUGAAUUCAUCUCCGGGGGUAGAGCACUGUUUCGGCUAGGGGGCCAUCCCGGCUUACCAACCCGAUGCAAACUGCGAAUACCGGAGAAUGUUAUCACGGGAGACACACGGCGGGUGCUAACGUCCGUCGUGAAGAGGGAAACAACCCAGACCGCCAGCUAAGGUCCCAAAGUCAUGGUUAAGUGGGAAACGAUGUGGGAAGGCCCAGACAGCCAGGAUGUUGGCUUAGAAGCAGCCAUCAUUUAAAGAAAGCGUAAUAGCUCACUGGUCGAGUCGGCCUGCGCGGAAGAUGUAACGGGGCUAAACCAUGCACCGAAGCUGCGGCAGCGACACUGUGUGUUGUUGGGUAGGGGAGCGUUCUGUAAGCCUGCGAAGGUGGCCUGUGAGGGUUGCUGGAGGUAUCAGAAGUGCGAAUGCUGACAUAAGUAACGAUAAAGCGGGUGAAAAGCCCGCUCGCCGGAAGACCAAGGGUUCCUGUCCAACGUUAAUCGGGGCAGGGUGAGUCGACCCCUAAGGCGAGGCCGAAAGGCGUAGUCGAUGGGAAACGGGUUAAUAUUCCCGUACUUGGUGUUACUGCGAAGGGGGGACGGAGAAGGCUAUGUUGGCCGGGCGACGGUUGUCCCGGUUUAAGCGUGUAGGUGUGUGUUCCAGGUAAAUCCGGUUCACUUUAACACUGAGGCGUGACGACGAGGCACUACGGUGCUGAAGCAACAAAUGCCCUGCUUCCAGGAAAAGCCUCUAAGCAUCAGGUAACAUCAAAUCGUACCCCAAACCGACACAGGUGGUCAGGUAGAGAAUACCAAGGCGCUUGAGAGAACUCGGGUGAAGGAACUAGGCAAAAUGGUGCCGUAACUUCGGGAGAAGGCACGCUGACACGUAGGUGAAGUGAUUUACUCAUGGAGCUGAAGUCAGUCGAAGAUACCAGCUGGCUGCAACUGUUUAUUAAAAACACAGCACUGUGCAAACACGAAAGUGGACGUAUACGGUGUGACGCCUGCCCGGUGCCGGAAGGUUAAUUGAUGGGGUCAGCGCAAGCGAAGCUCCUGAUCGAAGCCCCGGUAAACGGCGGCCGUAACUAUAACGGUCCUAAGGUAGCGAAAUUCCUUGUCGGGUAAGUUCCGACCUGCACGAAUGGCGUAAUGAUGGCCAGGCUGUCUCCACCCGAGACUCAGUGAAAUUGAACUCGCUGUGAAGAUGCAGUGUACCCGCGGCAAGACGGAAAGACCCCGUGAACCUUUACUAUAGCUUGACACUGAACAUUGAGCCUUGAUGUGUAGGAUAGGUGGGAGGCUUUGAAGUGUGGACGCCAGUCUGCAUGGAGCCGACCUUGAAAUACCACCCUUUAAUGUUUGAUGUUCUAACGUGGACCCGUUACCCGGGUUGCGGACAGUGUCUGGUGGGUAGUUUGACUGGGGCGGUCUCCUCCUAAAGAGUAACGGAGGAGCACGAAGGUUGGCUAAUCCUGGUCGGACAUCAGGAGGUUAGUGCAAUGGCAUAAGCCAGCUUGACUGCGAGCGUGACGGCGCGAGCAGGUGCGAAAGCAGGUCAUAGUGAUCCGGUGGUUCUGAAUGGAAGGGCCAUCGCUCAACGGAUAAAAGGUACUCCGGGGAUAACAGGCUGAUACCGCCCAAGAGUUCAUAUCGACGGCGGUGUUUGGCACCUCGAUGUCGGCUCAUCACAUCCUGGGGCUGAAGUAGGUCCCAAGGGUAUGGCUGUUCGCCAUUUAAAGUGGUACGCGAGCUGGGUUUAGAACGUCGUGAGACAGUUCGGUCCCUAUCUGCCGUGGGCGCUGGAGAACUGAGGGGGGCUGCUCCUAGUACGAGAGGACCGGAGUGGACGCAUCACUGGUGUUCGGGUUGUCAUGCCAAUGGCACUGCCCGGUAGCUAAAUGCGGAAGAGAUAAGUGCUGAAAGCAUCUAAGCACGAAACUUGCCCCGAGAUGAGUUCUCCCUGAGACUUAGAGUCUCCUGAAGGAACGUUGAAGACGACGACGUUGAUAGGCCGGGUGUGUAAGCGCAGCGAUGCGUUGAGCUAACCGGUACUAAUGAACCGUGAGGCUUAACCUU
Molecule: ribosomal RNA, 2904 nt
Filed under: Salmonella enterica
Lineage: Bacteria; Pseudomonadati; Pseudomonadota; Gammaproteobacteria; Enterobacterales; Enterobacteriaceae
Also listed under: 5 other names
Description: bacterial LSU rRNA
Rfam family: Bacterial large subunit ribosomal RNA
Source: RNAcentral